This 125-nucleotide small RNA is filed under the name Salmonella enterica subsp. enterica serovar Senftenberg. Its description in RNAcentral is "RtT sRNA". It matches the Rfam family "RtT RNA". From Rfam's summary of the family: This family represents a bacterial cis-regulatory element known as RtT RNA. The exact function of RtT is unknown although it is thought that it may be involved in changing the cellular response in relation to amino acid starvation. The record is from RNAcentral. Lineage: Bacteria; Pseudomonadati; Pseudomonadota; Gammaproteobacteria; Enterobacterales; Enterobacteriaceae.
AUAUCUCUCCGUACGGGAAGGAUGAGAAGCUUCGACUAAGGUUCGAUUCGAGCGAAAGAAAGCGUUGCCGCAGGCAACGACCCGAAGGGAAGCGCGCAGCGCUGAGUCAUCCUUCCCCACCACCA